GACGAACGCUGGCGGCGUGCUUAACACAUGCAAGUCGAACGGAAAGGCCCUGCUUUUGUGGGGUGCUCGAGUGGCGAACGGGUGAGUAACACGUGAGUAACCUGCCCUUGACUUUGGGAUAACUUCAGGAAACUGGGGCUAAUACCGGAUAGGAGCUCCUGCUGCAUGGUGGGGGUUGGAAAGUUUCGGCGGUUGGGGAUGGACUCGCGGCUUAUCAGCUUGUUGGUGGGGUAGUGGCUUACCAAGGCUUUGACGGGUAGCCGGCCUGAGAGGGUGACCGGCCACAUUGGGACUGGGAUACGGCCAGGACUCCUACGGGAGGCAGCAGUGGGGAAUAUUGCACAAGGGGCGGAAGCCGGAUGCAGCAACGCCGCGUGCGGGAUGACGGCCUUCGGGUUGUAAACCGCUUUCGCCUGUGACGAAGCGUGAGUGACGGUAAUGGGUAAAGAAGCACCGGCUAAUUACGU
Molecule: ribosomal RNA, 467 nt
Filed under: uncultured bacterium
Lineage: Bacteria
Description: partial 16S ribosomal RNA
Rfam family: Bacterial small subunit ribosomal RNA
Source: RNAcentral